GACUCGAUAGCGGAUGGUCCGCACCUGCUCUCGUUCCAGGAUUGCUUCUUCAAGUUAAUGAAGCAGGAAGCCGGUUCGAUUCCGGCUCGGGUCU
Molecule: non-coding RNA, 94 nt
Organism: Mycena filopes
Lineage: Eukaryota; Fungi; Basidiomycota; Agaricomycetes; Agaricales; Mycenaceae
Source: the annotation of a GenBank genome assembly